UUAUUGGGUUUUAUUCUGGCUCCGAGUGAACGCUGGUAACAUAUUUUAACACAUGCAAAUCGAACGAAAAUAUAAUAUUAUUUUAGUGGUGACCUGGUGAGUAGUAUAAGAGAAUUGAAGUGUGGGUUAGGUUAAAUACCUGAAUUUACUUGGUGUAAAAGAUUUAUAUCGCCCGCAAUAAAGCUUUUAAAGGAUUAGGUAGUUGUUGUAGUAAUUAUUCAACAAGCCGACGAUGCUUAGCUGGUUUGAGAGAAUGAUCAGCCACAUUGGGGCUGAAAACGGCCCAAGUCUUCCGAAAAGGGCAGCAGUGGAGAAUAUUUGACAAUGGGCGAAAGCUUGAUCGAGUAAUGUUACGUGGGUGAUGAGAAGGCUUAAUUGCCGUAAAGCUCGUUUCGCCAAGGAUUAUAAUGCAAUCGUACUUGGAGGAGAAGCCCUGACUAACUUCGUGCCAGCAGUCGCGGUAAUACGGAGAGGGCUGGUGUUAUUCGCAUUGACUGGGUGUAAAGGGUGCGUAGGUGGUUUAUUAAGUUUCAAGGCAAAUGUUAAAUAUAAAGUUUAAACGCCUUUUAAUACUAAUAGACUAGAGUUUAUUGGGAGACAGCUGUACAUUAAGUGUAAAGGUGAAAUUUUUCGAUAUUUAAAGGACAUUCGAUAGGCGAAGGCUGCUAUCUACUUUAAUACUGACACUGAGGCACAAAAGCAUGGGGAUCAAACAGGAUUAGAGACCCUGGUAGUCCAUGCCCUGACCGAUGAAUAUUGAUUAUACUUUCGAGUGUAAUUAAGCUAACGCGUAAAUAUUCCACCUGAGUACUACGACCGCAAGGUUAAAACUCAAAGAAACUGACGGAAGAUUGUAUAAGCGGUGGAGUAUGUGGUUUAAUUUGAUAUAACGCAAAGAAUCUUACCAACCCUUGCAUACAAGUGGUUUAUUUUAUUCGCGGAAAUUUUUUUCCGCGAAUAGGUGAAUUUACUAAGAAUCUUGUUGAUCUCUGUUCUUAGUAGACUUGUACAGGUGCUGCAUGGUUGUCGGCAGUUCGUGUUGUGAAAUGUUUUGUUAAUUCAUUUAACGGACGUAACCUUCAGUCUUAUUUGUUUAUAAAUAAGACAACAUUAAUUUGAAAAUUGAUUGAAAGAAGAGGAAGUCAAAUCAUUAUGGCCUAUAUAGGUUGGGCUACACACGUACUACAAUGGUAAUUACAACGUGAAGCGUAAACGUGAGUUUUAGCUAAACAUGAAAAAUUAACCUUAGUUCUGAUUAUUCUCUGUAAGUCGAGAGUAUGAAGUAGGAAUCGCUAGUAAUCGUAGAAUAGAACGCUGCGGUGAAUACAUUCUCAAUCUUUGUACACACCGCCCGUCACGCCAUGGGAAUUGGUUUGGUUAGAAGUUAAAUAGGUUGUUCUUAUACUCUACUUUAAUAUUUGUUUUGAGCUGGGGUGGGUAUAGCACUAAUAACGACAAUUAGAUUAAGGACUGGGGUGAAGUCGUAACAAGGUAGCGGUAGGGGAACC
RNAcentral lists this ribosomal RNA (1508 nucleotides) under Acanthamoeba palestinensis. RNAcentral's name for it is "16S ribosomal RNA". It matches the Rfam family "Bacterial small subunit ribosomal RNA". Lineage: Eukaryota; Discosea; Longamoebia; Acanthamoebidae. The record is from RNAcentral.